AUGGUACCAGCUUCAGUAUACCUGGGUUUUACUGCGGCAAUCAUUUGGGUUGGGAAGGGCACAUAUCUUACCUCUGCUGCCCUCAGUCAUGCAAGAGACAAUAAUCUACCUGAUGGCCCGGCUGUAGGAAGAUUUAAUGGAGAGUUCUGGGGAGUGUUCGCUAGUACGCAGGUCAUUGGAAAUCUGAUCUCAUUUGUUGUACUGCGAAAUAGAAAGGGUGGCGGAACUGUAACAGGAAAAAAUCUGUUGUUUCUUGUGUUCCUUGGCUGCACGGUUAUCGGCAUUGUAUUAAUGUGUUUACUGUCCAAAAGAGAUGAGAAACAAGAUCAUUCUUCAGCACACUCAUCGUUUGGAGAUAUGUUGAAGUGUAUUGUCGCCCCUCUCAAGGACAAAAGGAUGCUUCUUUUAAUUCCUCUUAUGGCAUAUUCAGGUUUACAACAGGCAUUUGUAUGGGCUGUAUUCACAAAGAGUAUUGUGACACCUGUGCUUGGCCUAUCUGGAAUCGGCGGCGCCAUGGCAGUAUAUGGUGUAGCUGAUGUAGUUUGUUCAUUGGUUGCUGGACGUUUUACUUCUGGGCUUCAGUCAGCUACAUUUGUAGUGUCAGUUGGAGCUAUUCUUCAGGCUGCUGUCCUCUUCUGGCUGCUUCUCUUUUACCACCCAAUGGGCAGAUUACUUGGCGCAGCGGCUCCACUAUUGAUAGGUGCCUUAUGGGGUGUUGGUAACGGAGUCCUGAACACACAGCUAAGUGCUUUACUUGGGCUGCUCUUCGAGGAUGUCAAGGAGGCGGUUUUUGCGCAGUUUAGGGUCUGGCAAUCAGGUGCCAUGGCAGUCAUCUUCUUCCUCAGCCAAGUCAUCACACUGCAAGCCAUGCUUAUCUUGUCCACAUCGCUCGUCGUCUCUUUUGCCUCCUUCCUGACUGUAGAAGACUAUAGGAUGCAACUCAAUUGUAUUCCAUCG
Molecule: ribosomal RNA, 957 nt
Filed under: Triticum aestivum (bread wheat)
Lineage: Eukaryota; Viridiplantae; Streptophyta; Magnoliopsida; Poales; Poaceae
Description: partial small subunit ribosomal RNA
Source: RNAcentral